Molecule: small nucleolar RNA, 137 nt
Filed under: Drosophila erecta
Lineage: Eukaryota; Metazoa; Arthropoda; Insecta; Diptera; Drosophilidae
Description: snoRNA:GG25848
Source: RNAcentral
CACAGUCCCAGCUCCGCAUAGCAAUGUUUGAUGUGCUCAUGCGGCGUUUGUGACUGUAAGAUGAAAGCCCAGCCCAUAUUAUAUCGUGUUGUUGGUGGUGUUUGUGCAUCAACGAUGAAAGAGUAUAAGGCACACUA